This 2685-nucleotide ribosomal RNA is filed under the name Triticum aestivum (bread wheat). RNAcentral describes it as "partial small subunit ribosomal RNA". The record is from RNAcentral. Lineage: Eukaryota; Viridiplantae; Streptophyta; Magnoliopsida; Poales; Poaceae.
AUGGUGCCGAAGCUCUUUGAUUUCUUACAUGCAAAUCAUGAGCUUCGGAAGAACCUAAAGAAUGACAUCAUCUACAUCAAGCAUGAGUUUGCUAUGAUUUCUGCUGUCAUCAAGGAUGAUGAUAGCCGUGGUGGCUGCCGCAGCAGCAGUGAACAAGUGCAUACGGAGUGGAUCAAUAUUGUGCGUGAAUUGGCGCACGCCAUAGAAGACUGCAUCGACCGCUUCAUGCACAGUGUGACCAUGGCUGACUCGGAAAAAGGGAGGCUCAGCCGGGCUCUCCACCGGGUGAAGAUGGCGAAGACCCGCGGCAAGUUUGCUGCGGAGAUCCGGACGCUGAAGAAUAGAUCAGAAGAUGCUUCCAAGCUGAGAGAAAAAUACUGCAACAACAGCAGCAGCAGUUCCUCACCAAGGUGGUCGUUGUCGUCUGAGCAGACAGACGCGCCGACAGCGGUUCAGGAUGAUGACGAUGACAUCCAUUCAUCAGCUUCCAUCGCCGUUCCUGUGGGUAUCGACGGUCCCCGUGGCGAGCUUAUGGAUCUGAUCCAGCAGGAGCAGCAGCUUAAGGCAAUUGAGAGCCAAUAUGAAGUACGGGCUUGGGUCCAAGGGGGGAGGAGGACAGCAGCGGAUGUUCUCAAGGAGAUACUCAAGCAGCUUGGCCACCUUCCCCUGCCAACCAAUGGCAGUCUCACUCUCACCUUGCUUCACGCGAGCAUCAGAGAGUGCAUUGGCAACAAGAGGUUCUUUAUUGUAAUUGAUGACCUGCGGACAACAGCAUAUUGGCACAACAUGAAAGCAGCCUUUGUCGGUUUAAAUGGCAGAUUUCUGGUGACGACGGUCAUUCAGCCCGUAGCAAAUAUCUGUCGCAGCUCAUCUGUUAAUGAUCAUGUAUACACAAUGGCAACUCUUACCGACCAAGACUCAAGAAUAUUGUUCUUCAAGGAAGCUUUCCAAGACGAUGAACAGCCGCAGCAUGUGGAUGACCUCGGCUAUGCAGCGCUCAAGAAAUGUGAUGGUCUUCCCCUUGCUCUUGUUACCACCGCCAGGUUCUUGAAAAGCGCAGGUAAUCCAACACCCAUGAUAUGGGCAAAACUAUGCGCCAACCUGGGUACACAUAUGGAGAGUGAUGAUCUAUUUGCAAGAAUGAGGCGUGUGCUUGUCCAGAGCUACACCAGCCUUGAUAGCCAGGUUGCCAGGACAUUCUUGCUCUAUUUGAGUACCUACCCAAGUGGUCGUCCUAUCAAGAAAUCGAGCUUGUUAAGGAGAUGGUUAGCAGAAGGCUUGUCCCCAGGAGACAAUACAUAUAGUGAUGUUGAUGCCGCCAUUAGCAAUUUCAAUAAGCUUGUUGAUUGGAGCAUCAUCCAGCCAAUGGAAGCCAGCGGUAACAGCACAGAGGUGAAGACAUGUCAUACCCAUGGCAUGAUGCUGGAGUUCGUCCUGCGCAAGUCCAUGUCCGACAACUUCGUUACCGUGUUGUAUGAUGGGCAGUCUACCUCUCGCCUACCCAAUAAUAUCCGCCGGCUUGCUCUGCAUCAUGCAAGGCCAAGAGAAGUGCCAGGUUUAACUCUUGUUCGGUCACUGACAAUCUUGGGAGAGGCGCACCCAUCUGUCCUGGACUUCUCCAAGUAUGAACUGCUGCGAGUUUUGGAUCUGGAAAAGUGCGUUGUACCCUUGGAGGAUGGCCAUCUCAAGUUGAUAUGCAGAAAACUGUUGCUGCUGAGGUACCUAUGCCUCGGGGCUGCAGUUAUUGCCACGGUGCUUCCGAAGGAGAUCAGGAAGCUUCAAUUAUUGGAUACACUGGAUGUAAGUAAAACAAAGAUAGAGAUUCUGCCAACGCAAGUCAUGGAGCUGCCACGUCUUGUUCAUCUCUUUGGGAAGUUCAAGCUCAAGAAAGAUGUAGGAGACUGGAGAAUGAGUAAGCUACAGAGUUGGUUGUUAGAGAAUAGCAAAUUGGAAACACUGGCAGGAUUUGUUGUGGACAACAGCAAGAGCCAAGAUUUUGCACAGCUCAUGGAUAAUAUGAAGGCUUUGACAAAGGUGAAAAUAUGGUGCGAGGCUACCGCCGACACCAGCAGCUCAAGUCAUCUCUCAAAGGCCAUCAAGGGGAUCAUUGAGAGAAGCACCCUGUUCAUAGGGACCCCUUCACUAUCACUCAAUUUUGAAGGUGAGUUGACCCAAGACAUGCUGAAUUUCUCUCUGGAGAAAGGAAAACAUUCAUGCUCCCUCAAGCUGCAAGGAAGCAAGAUAUGCAGCCUGCCCCCCUUUGUUGCCUUGCUGGGUCGUCUCACUAAGCUAGGUCUUUCAUCCCCUCAGCUGAGCCUGAGCCAAGACUUCCUUGCUGCCCUGAGCAAAGUGCCCGGCCUGGCGUACCUGAAGCUGGUUGCAACUAGACUGGACAAGCUUGUCAUCAUAAAAGGUAUGCUGAAGAGCCUGGGACGCCUAUCCAUUGUGGUCGACUCCACCAUGGAUCAGCUGGAAAUCAAAGAGGGAGCUCUACCAUGCCUCAAGUCACUGCAGCUGCUAUGCAAAGAUCUGUCUGGCUCUAUUUCCGGCACGUCAGCGGUCCAGUCCCUUGGACAUCUUAAGGAGAUUGUUCUCCAUCGUGAAGUGGGAGACGAAACAAAAAAUGAGUGGGAAGAAGCAGCAAAGAACCUCCCAAGUCCACGUCCCAAGAUCUUGUUUCUGUAG